AGCGGCGGACGGGUGAGUAACGCGUGGGUAACCUGCCUCAUACAGGGGGAUAACAGUUGGAAACGGCUGCUAAUACCGCAUAAGCGCACAGUACCGCAUGGUACCGUGUGAAAAACUCCGGUGGUAUGAGAUGGACCCGCGUCUGAUUAGCUAGUUGGUGGGGUAACGGCCUACCAAGGCGACGAUCAGUAGCCGGCCUGAGAGGGUGAACGGCCACAUUGGGACUGAGACACGGCCCAA
RNAcentral lists this ribosomal RNA (240 nucleotides) under uncultured bacterium. Its description in RNAcentral is "partial 16S ribosomal RNA". It matches the Rfam family "Bacterial small subunit ribosomal RNA", at positions 94 to 334 of the family's 1533-position model. The record is from RNAcentral.